This 199-nucleotide ribosomal RNA is filed under the name uncultured bacterium. Its description in RNAcentral is "partial 16S ribosomal RNA". It matches the Rfam family "Bacterial small subunit ribosomal RNA", at positions 1294 to 1500 of the family's 1533-position model. The record is from RNAcentral.
CGGAUUGGAGUCUGCAACCCGACUCCAUGAAGCUGGAUUCGCUAGUAAUCGCGCAUCAGCCACGGCGCGGUGAAUACGUUCCCGGGCCUUGUACACACCGUCCGUCAAGCCAUGGAAGCCGGGAGUGCCUGAAGUGCGUGAGCGCAAGCAGCGCCCUAAGGUAAAACCGGUGACUGGGGCUAAGUCGUAACAAGGUAUC